This 304-nucleotide ribosomal RNA is filed under the name uncultured bacterium. RNAcentral describes it as "bacterial SSU rRNA". It matches the Rfam family "Bacterial small subunit ribosomal RNA", at positions 28 to 332 of the family's 1533-position model. The record is from RNAcentral.
AUUGAACGCUGGCGGCAUGCUUUACACAUGCAAGUCGAGCGGCAGCGCGGGGGCAACCCUAGCGGCGAGCGGCGAACGGGUGAGUAAUGCAUCGGAACGUGUCCCGUGGUGGGGGAUAACCCGGCGGAAAGCCGGGCUAAUACCGCAUAUGCUCUGAGGAGGAAAGUGGGGGACCCGCAAGGGCCUCACGCCAUGGGAGCGGCCGAUGUCCGAUUAGCUUGUUGGUGGGGAAUGGCUUACCAAGGCGACGAUCGGUAGCUGGUCUGAGAGGAUGAUCAGCCACACUGGGACUGAGACACGGCCC